CCUACGGGUGGCAGCAGUGGGGAAUAUUGCACAAUGGGGGGAACCCUGAUGCAGCGACGCCGCGUGAGUGAAGAAGUAUUUCGGUAUGUAAAGCUCUAUCAGCAGGGAAGAAAAUGACGGUACCUGACUAAGAAGCCCCGGCUAACUACGUGCCAGCAGCCGCGGUAAUACGUAGGGGGCAAGCGUUAUCCGGAUUUACUGGGUGUAAAGGGAGCGCAGACGGCUGUGCAAGUCUGGAGUGAAAGGCGGGGGCACAACCCCCGGACUGCUCUGGAAACUGUAAAGCUGGAGUGCAGGAGAGGUAAGCGGAAUUCCUAGUGUAGCGGUGAAAUGCGUAGAUAUUAGGAGGAACACCAGUGGCGAAGGCGGCUAACUGGACUGAAACUGACGUUGAGGCUCGAAAGCGUGGGGAGCAAACAGGAUUAGAUACCCUGGUAGUC
Molecule: ribosomal RNA, 440 nt
Filed under: uncultured bacterium
Lineage: Bacteria
Description: partial 16S ribosomal RNA
Rfam family: Bacterial small subunit ribosomal RNA
Source: RNAcentral